This 253-nucleotide ribosomal RNA is filed under the name uncultured bacterium. Its description in RNAcentral is "partial 16S ribosomal RNA". It matches the Rfam family "Bacterial small subunit ribosomal RNA", at positions 524 to 776 of the family's 1533-position model. The record is from RNAcentral.
UACGGAGGGUGCAAGCGUUAUCCGGAUUUACUGGGUUUAAAGGGUGCGUAGGCGGUCUUGUAAGUCAGAGGUGAAAUCCCCCGACUCAAUUGGGGAACUGCCUUUGAUACUACAAGGCUUGAAUGAUGUGGAGGUAAGCGGAAUAUGACAUGUAGCGGUGAAAUGCAUAGAUAUGUCAUGGAACACCAAUUGCGAAGGCAGCUUACUACGCAUAUAUUGACGCUGAUGCACGAAAGCGUGGGUAGCGAACAGG